GACAGAGGGUGCAAACGUUGUUCGGAAUUACUGGGCGUAAAGCGCGUGUAGGCGGCAAGGCAAGUCGGAUGUGAAAGCCCACGGCUCAACCGUGGAAGUGCACCCGAAACUGCCUCGCUAGAGUCUCGGAGAGGAAGGUGGAAUGCUUGGUGUAGAGGUGAAAUUCGUAGAUAUCAAGCGGAACACCGGUGGCGAAGGCGGCCUUCUGGACAGCGACUGACGCUGAGACGCGAAAGCGUGGGGAGCAAACAGG
RNAcentral lists this ribosomal RNA (253 nucleotides) under uncultured bacterium. RNAcentral's name for it is "partial 16S ribosomal RNA". It matches the Rfam family "Bacterial small subunit ribosomal RNA", at positions 524 to 776 of the family's 1533-position model. The record is from RNAcentral.